RNAcentral lists this ribosomal RNA (389 nucleotides) under uncultured bacterium. RNAcentral describes it as "bacterial SSU rRNA". It matches the Rfam family "Bacterial small subunit ribosomal RNA", at positions 30 to 419 of the family's 1533-position model. The record is from RNAcentral.
AUUGAACGCUGGCGGCAUGCCUUACACAUGCAAGUCGAACGGCAGCACGGGAGCAAUCCUGGUGGCGAGUGGCGAACGGGUGAGUAAUAUAUCGGAACGUGCCCAGUCGUGGGGAUAACGUAGCGAAAGCUACGCUAAUACCGCAUACGAUCUACGGAUGAAAGCGGGGGAUCGCAAGACCUCGCGCGAUUGGAGCGGCCGAUAUCAGAUUAGGUAGUUGGUGAGGUAAAGGCUCACCAAGCCGACGAUCUGUAGCUGGUCUGAGAGGACGACCAGCCACACUGGGACUGAGACACGGCCCAGACUCCUACGGGAGGCAGCAGUGGGGAAUUUUUGGACAAUGGGCGCAAGCCUGAUCCAGCAAUGCCGCGUGCAGGAUGAAGGCCUUC